RNAcentral lists this long non-coding RNA (512 nucleotides) under Nicotiana benthamiana. Its description in RNAcentral is "long non-coding RNA (NBEN_LNC011149)". The record is from RNAcentral. Lineage: Eukaryota; Viridiplantae; Streptophyta; Magnoliopsida; Solanales; Solanaceae.
AGUACGCAACUUGGGGUUUCAAAUCAUCCUCACUUAAUUUGACUAUCUUCUUAUCGUCUCUGUCCGUGGGAGGCACAAAGGAUAGUGGCUUACCCAUUUGAGCACUACGAUUUCCUUGCACAACCUUAGCUGCAGUUGGAAAGGACACCUCCGAUUUACUGGACUCAAAAAAUUGUAGUCGGCGUACAGCUUGACUAUUAUUCCCUUCUGGUUUUCUUAUCGAACUUUGCAUUGCAUCUUCAUCACAUUCAGCUUCAUGAAUCUCCUCAAUGGCUUGAAAUUUCUGGGGGUAGAAAGCUCCCAAAAGUCAGCGGUUCUCGUGCUUUAGCAGAAUGCUGCAGUUGGAUAGGACACCUCCGAUUUACUGGGCUCAAAAAAUUAUAGUCGGCAUACAGCUUGACUAUUAUUUCCUUCUGGUUUGUUUAUCGGACUCUGCAUUGCAUCUUCAUCACAUUCAGCUUCAUGAAUCUCCUCAAUGGCUUGAAAUUUCUGGGGUAGGAAGCUCCCAAAAG